UAUAUAUCACCCACCCAUCAGCCUCUUCCUUCCGAGGAAUUCUAUAUUGUCACACUUGCACCACGUCAUCAAUAACAAGCCAACCAUAUUUCUUUUUUUAAAUAAAAGUAUAAUAAAAAUAAUUUUUUAUAAUCAUGAUAGAACAUAUAUUUUUAAAAUGAGAUAUUUGAUUGGUUUGUUACGCCACAUAACCAAUAUACCUGUUGCAUUCUAGAAUUUUUCCUUCCUUCCACACCUAGCUAGCUAGAUCUCUUA
Molecule: long non-coding RNA, 255 nt
Filed under: Ananas comosus (pineapple)
Lineage: Eukaryota; Viridiplantae; Streptophyta; Magnoliopsida; Poales; Bromeliaceae
Description: long non-coding RNA (ACOM_LNC027915)
Source: RNAcentral